Molecule: ribosomal RNA, 396 nt
Filed under: uncultured bacterium
Lineage: Bacteria
Description: bacterial SSU rRNA
Rfam family: Bacterial small subunit ribosomal RNA
Source: RNAcentral
AUUGAACGCUGGCGGCAUGCCUAACACAUGCAAGUCGAACGGCAGCACGGCAGUAGCAAUACUGUGGGUGGCGAGUGGCGGACGGGUGAGGAAUACGUCGGAAUCUGCCCAGUCGUGGGGGAUAACUAGCCGAAAGGUUAGCUAAUACCGCAUACGACCGAGAGGUGAAAGCGGGGGACCGCAAGGCCUCGCGCGAUUGGAUGAGCCGACGUCGGAUUAGCUAGUUGGUGGGGUAAAGGCCCACCAAGGCGACGAUCCGUAGCUGGUCUGAGAGGAUGAUCAGCCACACUGGAACUGAGACACGGUCCAGACUCCUGCGGGAGGCAGCAGUGGGGAAUAUUGGACAAUGGGCGCAAGCCUGAUCCAGCAAUGCCGCGUGUGUGAAGAAGGCCUCGG